RNAcentral lists this ribosomal RNA (252 nucleotides) under uncultured bacterium. Its description in RNAcentral is "partial 16S ribosomal RNA". It matches the Rfam family "Bacterial small subunit ribosomal RNA", at positions 524 to 776 of the family's 1533-position model. The record is from RNAcentral.
UACGUAGGGGGCGAGCGUUGUCCGGAUUUAUUGGGCGUAAAGAGCGUGUAGGCGGCUUGGUAGGUCUCGCGUCAAAACCUGAGGCUCAACCUCAGUUCGCGUGGGAAACCACCUAGCUAGAGUCCGGAAGAGGAGAACGGAAUUCCCAGUGUAGCGGUGAAAUGCGCAGAUAUUGGGAAGAACACCAGUGGCGAAGGCGGUUCUCUGGGACGGUACUGACACUGAGGCACGAAAGCGUGGGGAGCAAACAGG